This is a long non-coding RNA of Heterocephalus glaber (naked mole-rat), 1030 nucleotides long. The record is from Ensembl. NCBI's taxonomy places the organism in Eukaryota, Metazoa, Chordata, Mammalia, Rodentia, Bathyergidae.
AUCCAGCAGCGGACCGCAAAGGGGCCAGCGAUUGGUUCUGGGAUGUGAGGGGCAGGGUCAAGGGCCUUUCUGGGUGAUGAUUGGUCACCGAGAGAGCUAAAAGUAAGCAUUUCCGGGGUACAGAAUGGCUUCGGAUGGAUCCUCCUAGGCUCCGCCUCCCUUUUCAAGUACCUAGUUCCGAUUGGCAAUCUUUUGGGGGCCGGCAAGAUGAUUGCAGAGCUGGAGUUCAGGCAGAGGGCCAGCUAUGGCAUAUCGAGACAUAACUCCAUUUUGGCCUCUGGUCACAGCUACAACCUCAGUGGUCCCGUGAUGCUGUGAUGCUCCAGGACAAGAUUACACCAGCUGAAGACAUCCUGGGAGGAACAAAAUCUUCAUCUGCAUAGUUCCUCAUUGAUCUAGGAUAUCUGCCGCCUGCCUCGCAAGUGCAAGGUCCUGAGUUCGAUCCCUGUUACCAAAAAAAAAAGUUCUUUACAUUUUCAGAUCUCCCCAUGUUGUGUCUUACUUUUGGGGAAGAGAAUAGGAGGAGGAAGGAGCAAAAACAGUGUCUCAUUGGAGUCCCCAAAGGAUGGAACUCAGGAUCUUGCGCUUGCAAGGUGGGCGCUGGAACUACUGAGCUAAAUCCCCAGCCCUGUUUUGAUGUUUUAGAGUGGACAUGCUAUUGGAUCCCAUGUGUGAGAACUCGGAGUGAAUUGCCCCCUCCCUCUGAGAGUCUCUCUGCUUCCUGACUGUCAUGUAAACAGCUUUCCUCUGUCCAGGGCCUUCUACCACACCAUUGAAGCCAGGCCAUGGACUGAAACUUCUAAAACUGCAAAUCAAAAUAAACCUCUCCUCUUUUAAGGUGUGGGUGUCAAGUAUUGUGUCUCAGUCACAAGGAAAGUAACUAAGACAGAUGGGGAUAAAUCAUAUUCUAACUGCAGCACUCUGAAAUUAGUUACUAAAACGGACCACAACCUUGUGAAUAGAUAAAAAACAUUGACCUGUACAAGUCAAGAGAUGAACAUUACGGUGUUUGAGUUAUAAUUCAAUAAAG